Molecule: ribosomal RNA, 2181 nt
Filed under: Triticum aestivum (bread wheat)
Lineage: Eukaryota; Viridiplantae; Streptophyta; Magnoliopsida; Poales; Poaceae
Description: partial small subunit ribosomal RNA
Source: RNAcentral
GAAUAUCCUCCGCUAGGCAGGUACGGGUUGGCAGUGUGAGCCGAGCCGGGGUGCUGGAGUGGAGGUGGAAGGGCUCGCGGUAGCGGCGGUGGGAGGGCACGGCCGGAGACGGAAGGAGGCGUUGUGGCCGCCCUAGGCGGAGGGAAGGGGUGCGGCGGCCGGCGGCGGAGGGAAGGGGUGCGGCGGCCGGCGGCGGAGGGAAGGGGUGCGGCGGCCUGCGGCGCAGGGAGGGGUUGCGGCGGGAGGCGGCGGAGGCAGGGGUUGCGGCGGGAGGCGGCGGACGGAGAGGGCGCGGCGGGAGGCGGCGGACGGAGGGGGCACGGUGGGAGGCGACGGAGGGAGGGCCACAGAACGGUGGCGCAUAGAAAGCCCGCUACGGCUAACGAGGGAGGUGUCCGGCUAACGAGGGAGGUGUCGUUGUUGAUGCAACCGCACGUGUCCUCACAAAAACAAGACUCUAGUCAACGAGUUGCUGUCUUAACAAUAACGUGUCAUGUACAUAAUGAUGACACUUCCAAGUCUUUAGUCUUGAGUUUCUUCAUAACUGUCGUAUUGACGUAUUGAUGACAUAUAAGUUCCUCAGCCCAAAACGAGGACGCAGUAGAGCAGAGGAGGCAAGUCGUUUUCGGAGGUCUAUUCAAGUGUGUAUACCAAAACAAGAAAGAUAUUAAGAACUCAGGUUUGUGGAAACAAAAAACAAGGACUCUUUAAUUUAUUUGGACAUCUUCAAACACCAUAUUUUAAGACAUUCAAGCUUUAACCCUUUGACCAUUCACGUCUGUUUUAAUUUUGACAGUUUCUUGACUCCGAUGCGGUGUGGUCAUGUUUGAAAAAUUUACAAACUUAAAACAAUGUCGUUUUUGACUUACCUACCGUUCUACUUAUAUUAAUAAUAAUUCUCAAAGAAAAACUUGCAGAGGCCAAUUAUAUGUACUUGAACUAAUAGAAAAAUUGGUCAAUUUAUAUGUACCAACCGUUCUACUGAUAUCAACAAUAUCGUUUUUGUCAUGUAAAAAAGUUCUUUUCAAAGACAAACUUGAAGAGGCUAAUUAUAUCUACUUGAGUUAAUAGAAAAAUUAUACGUGAGUGUACUCGAGCAAACCUAAACACACAUAUAAACAUUGUGUUAGUUAACUCUAGAGCUCUCUGGCAUUCAAGUCAGCUGGAACCGUAGUGCUCGCCCAAGUCAAGCUAGAGCGUGUCACCCGUCCAGGGGCUACCACACACGCAGUCCAGAUGAGCGUGCUCACCUGUAGUCUAGUGCGUUCACCCGUCCAGGGGUUACCCCUUUCGAUCUUCUCUCCCCCAUAUGUACCGCAGCCUCUACGACGAGUCCUCCUAGGUAAGGUAGACGACAGAGCGGCCCCUGGCGGCUCGCGUCGACAAGCCGUCGCCCCUCCCCUAGGUAACAGAGCAAAGAGGCCAGUCGGUAGGUAGUAAGACGUCGUUGCGUAUACUUGUUCGGCCACGCCCGAACGAGUUCGUUCUCAAGUGAGCAGAUAGCUGCCUCUGCUUAUGGUUCGACUCCUGUCAGCCAAACGUUCUUGGUGUUGGGUGUGCCGGUACACACUAUAACGUCGUUUUUAUAACCAAAAUACACCUCCACUAGUCACAUCGUGGCCCGCUGGGGCUGGUGGCCGUGGUGACGAAGGACUGGAGGGCGAACGGCGGGGCGGGCAGGGGAGUAUCCUGGAGUGGUGACAGCAGACAGAUGGAUGAAGGAGCGCGUCUCUUCAAUGGGACAACGCCCGACUGGACCUCCGAGGAAGAGGUGCAGCUGUGUUAACGUCCUGGUUGAACGAUGACUGGUGCGUUCGAAGGACUACCUCGAGCACAGGUUACUAUGACUUUCCUUUUUGACGAGAUCAAAACUUGAAUAAUAAGUCGGUACGAUAAUGACUCACUUUUUACUCACUUUCACAUAACGUUAACUAGAGAGAAUCUAGUACUGUUAGGAGAUAAAUAGGAAACAAACGAACAAAAAACCAGAUAUUAAGUUCUUGAAACUGGAAGCAUUAAGCCAAAAACCAAUUAAACAACAAUACGGGUCAUGUUUGGUAAUUUAGACUUCUCCGAAGAUUAUCACUCUUUUACACGUCAGCCACACCACAUAUACAGUAAGUACAUACUUUUACACGUCAGCCACACCACAUAUACAAUAAGUACAUGUACAUAAUAUAC